This 756-nucleotide ribosomal RNA is filed under the name Triticum aestivum (bread wheat). RNAcentral's name for it is "partial small subunit ribosomal RNA". The record is from RNAcentral. Lineage: Eukaryota; Viridiplantae; Streptophyta; Magnoliopsida; Poales; Poaceae.
AUGAAAGUGGAAAAAAUAACAUGUCUACAUGUUGAUAUUCCGGAUUGUGAGGUGAAAAUUUGCAGUCUGAAGAAGCCCAUGGGCAUUUUAUUGCCUGACGAAGGAAAAUCAGACCCUGCGAAAAAUAUAAUAUCGUUCUUACAUCAACAUGACUUUGAUAUCCCGGGAGGGAAGGUUGAGGAAUCUUAUUAUGCACCGGCUCUUCGCUUGCAUGAAGUCGAAUUAUGUGAAAAGAACUAUUUGAAGUUUUUCCGCCUUCUUUUAAACAAAUUUCUGUCUAGAUCCGGCAUUGACACUAAGAAUUGGAUUUUAAUCCAAUUUGCAACAGCUCUGAAGAUGAUCUGUCACCCUCGAGCAUCAUAUGAUGUCCACCACCCCGAUGAGAUUUUCUUACUCGACGUGUACUCAAAGAUAGUGGAUCAUUCACCUGGAUAUAAAGGAGGCUUUUUAAAGAUUGAUGUCCUUUCUCUCUACAAUGAGGUUCUAAGUCUCUGUUCACAGAGGAGUAGGCAUUUGUACAAAUUGGAUGCCUUGGUUAGGAAGGCUGCAAAGACGAAGGCUAAGUUAGAAGAACAUCCUUCCGUGGAAGUGCCUAACGGAUUCUGUAAAGAAAUCUACAGCAACGAGAGCAAGUCGAAAGAAGCUGCUGAGCAAACCGGAAAGAUUGAGGCAGCGUCAGACCCUUGGAAGAUGAGGCGACUACCAGGCUCAUCGACGUGGCAUUUGAUCCUGCAGAGAAAGAAGCACCAGACUUGA